AGUGCAUCGGGUAAGACCGAUGCUUUUCUUGACUCUUCAAAGGUCUUGGAAUAAGGGGUGGGUAAGGACGGUGCCAGCCGCCGCGGUAAUACCGGCGCCUCAAGUGGUAGUCGCUUUUAUUGGGCCUAAAACGUCCGUAGCCGGUUUGGUACAUUCGUGGGUAAAUCAAGGCGCUCAACGUCUUGAAUUCUGCGAGCACGGCCAGACUUGGGACCGGGUGAGGUGUGGGGUACUCUCAGGGUAGGGGUAAAAUCCUGUCAUCCUGAGAGGACCACCUGUUGCGAAGGCGCCACACUAGAACGGAUCCGACGGUCAGGGACGAAGCCUAGGGGCACGAACCGGAUUAAAUACCCGGGUAGUCCUAGGUGUAAACGCUGUGGACUUGAUGUUGGGAGUGCUCCGAGCACCCUCAGUGUCGAAGCGAAGGUGAUAAGUCCACUGCCUGGGGAGUACGGUCGCAAGGCUGAAACUUAAAGGAA
Molecule: ribosomal RNA, 479 nt
Filed under: uncultured archaeon
Lineage: Archaea
Description: bacterial SSU rRNA
Rfam family: Archaeal small subunit ribosomal RNA
Source: RNAcentral